This 253-nucleotide ribosomal RNA is filed under the name uncultured bacterium. RNAcentral's name for it is "partial 16S ribosomal RNA". It matches the Rfam family "Bacterial small subunit ribosomal RNA", at positions 524 to 776 of the family's 1533-position model. The record is from RNAcentral.
UACGUAGGUGGCAAGCGUUGUCCGGAAUUAUUGGGCGUAAAGCGCGCGCAGGCGGUCCUUUAAGUCUGAUGUGAAAGCCCACGGCUCAACCGUGGAGGGUCAUUGGAAACUGGGGGACUUGAGUGCAGAAGAGGAGAGUGGAAUUCCACGUGUAGCGGUGAAAUGCGUAGAGAUGUGGAGGAAUACCAGUGGCGAAGGCGACUCUCUGGUCUGUAACUGACGCUGAGGCGCGAAAGCGUGGGGAGCAAACAGG